UGAAUAAGUGAAUUUAAGGGUUCAAAAUGGAGGUAUAAAUCAAAGAUUUAUGGUUGUUUCAGAUGACAUUAAUAUGUUGUUGGAUGAAGUACAUAAAAAGGGUAUUAAAAGUAGAUUUCGCAUUCUUUCACAGACAACUUUUAUAUGUUGUCCGAUGUAUUACUAUAAAGUUGCUAAAUGUUGUUUUUUUACACUGCAUAUAUAUGCCGUCUGAAAUUUUGCAUAUCACAGAUAAAUUUAGCAACAUCCAGAAGUAUGAAGGGAGCAUGGCACUUAUACGACUUAUACUUCGCAAAUGUCGUCUGAAGGGUCGAAAAAUUAAUCAAACGACAUAAACUCAAAAUCGUCCAAAAUAUGUCGUCUGAAAAGUGUCGUCUGAUGAUAUAUAUGACUAGUGGAGAGUCAUUUGAUUCAUCACUCAUUCAUGUCUUAGAAAACCGAAAUUUUGAGCUUUGCAAUAUGUUUUGGGGUCUAGCGACGGUGAAAGAUUAAUGAAUGAAUAUACAUUUCCGGAUUCGGGUAUUAGCAUGGCCCAAAUUUGUUAGAAUGUGGGCUUGGCCUGACCCGGGUGGUUGCUCAUCAUUUCAUUUCAGACCACGUGAGUGACGAGUGAUGACAGCGGCAAAUUUCCCGCCAAUGAUACGCGCCCCAGUGGCGGGAUUUUUCUUGACGGUGAGAGGAGCGAGGCUAGUCCCGCCAUUUCACAAGCACAUCGAAUUUCUACCUCCGCAUUACUUUUUCGGUGUUUCUAUUUCAUGGUAUAUUACAAAAUAAGAAAAAAAAAAAAACCAUGAUAAAAGUUCAUUAUGAAAGACAAAUUAACCGGUUAAAGGGAGCUUGACAAAUUGUCAUUUAAAUAACUAGUGUUAUUAAAUCGAAACUCAUCAAAUCAAAAUUUUCGUAGAACUACUAUCUUUCGAAAUGAUAACCAUCACAUGUGGUUAAGUUGGUAAGAGUUUAAGCAUGAAACCUCUAUAUCCAUGUUUGAUUCUUGAUGAUUGUAGUUAAAUCUCAAUAUAUUCUUAGUGACCAUGAGGAAGAAAGCGUUUUGACAUAAUCUCCUGACACAAUUUAGCUUCUCAGUCUAAAAAGUCUUUUUAGGGAACCGUGUGAUUCUGAUACGCUCUCAAAAUGAUUUUCAACUUCUUGAUAAUAUUUGGUAUUUUGGUUUAUUUUCGAUGAGUAUGUUGCAAUAUGGAGCA
RNAcentral lists this long non-coding RNA (1202 nucleotides) under Fragaria vesca (wild strawberry). Its description in RNAcentral is "long non-coding RNA (FVES_LNC002855)". The record is from RNAcentral. Lineage: Eukaryota; Viridiplantae; Streptophyta; Magnoliopsida; Rosales; Rosaceae.